GACGAACGCUGGCGGCGUGCUUAACACAUGCAAGUCGAACGGGACCCGCAAGGGUUCAGUGGCGAACGGGUGCGUAACACGUGAAGAAUUUGUCCAACGGCGGGGGAUAGCCGGCCCAACGGCCGGGUAAUACCGCGUACGACCUUUGAGGGGCAUCCCUCGAUGGUGAAAGCCGCAAGGCGCCGAUGGAGAACUUCGCGGCCUAUCAGCUAGUUGGUGAGGUCAUGGCUCA
Molecule: ribosomal RNA, 232 nt
Filed under: uncultured bacterium
Lineage: Bacteria
Description: partial 16S ribosomal RNA
Rfam family: Bacterial small subunit ribosomal RNA
Source: RNAcentral